Molecule: ribosomal RNA, 253 nt
Filed under: uncultured bacterium
Lineage: Bacteria
Description: partial 16S ribosomal RNA
Rfam family: Bacterial small subunit ribosomal RNA
Source: RNAcentral
UACGGAGGGGGCUAGCGUUGUUCGGAAUUACUGGGCGUAAAGCGCGCGCAGGCGGUCCUUCAAGUCAGAGGUGAAAGCCCAGAGCUCAACUCUGGAAUGGCCUUUGAGACUAGAGGACUUGGGUACGGGAGAGGUGAGUGGAAUUCCGAGUGUAGAGGUGAAAUUCGUAGAUAUUAGGAAGAACACCAGUGGCGAAGGCGGCUCACUGGCCCGGUACUGACGCUGAGGCGCGAAAGCGUGGGGAGCAAACAGG